CAUGCAGGCGGUUCAUCAAGUAGGAUGUGAAAUCCCCGGGCUCAACCUGGGAACUGCAUCUGAUACUGGCAAGCUUGAGUCUCGUAGAGGGGGGUAGAAUUCCAGGUGUAGCGGUGAAAUGCGUAGAUAUAUGGAAGAACACCAGUGGCGAAGGCGGCUCUCUGGUCUGUAACUGACGCUGAGGCUCGAAAGCGUGGUAGCAAACA
Molecule: ribosomal RNA, 206 nt
Filed under: uncultured bacterium
Lineage: Bacteria
Description: partial 16S ribosomal RNA
Rfam family: Bacterial small subunit ribosomal RNA
Source: RNAcentral